GUUUUCAGGUAAGUUACUGGGCAUUUUGUGGUAUUUUACUGUGAAAAAUACAGCAAAGGUUAACAGUGUGUAUCUGAAUUAGUUAAAUCUAAGAAGGUAGAGCCAAAGAGAACAAACCCUUAAAAAGCAUUUCUUCUUAUGUGUAGGACAAACUUGCAUGGGGACUCAGAGGUAGGAGGCACCAAGUCAAAAAGACUUUCAGAGAGUCCUACAGUUUACUGGAUGAAUAUAUAUUCACUAAUAUAUAAAACUAAACUUCUUCUCUUGCUCUCGGCGAAGGCGGUCGCACUUUUUUUCCUCCUCCUCUCCUCUCCCUUAGCUUCCCUGCUUAGCCUCUUGUGUCCUUGUCUAGUCUCGUGUUUUUUUGUAUUACUUUUCCCUGGAACACUCUCUCACAGUCUGUUCUCUAAAACCUAAAAGAGGAAUUAUGGAUUUGAUCAACUGGUCUCUGAAUGCAAUUGACACCCCUUUCUCAACGAGAAGUCUGGGCUCGGGUGAGCCUGACUGCUGAAGAUAUCUACCUUUUCGGAACCAUGAUAACAGGGUUCUUGCUGAUCGGAGCUGGCUUGGCCCUGGCUUAUCGAAGAAUUAAGGAAGCGGAACCGGCUGUUCAAACCCCCACAAGGCUGCCCGCUGGGAUUGAAACGAUGGGACGAGGCGUGAGUUUCUCAAAAUGGGCUCAUUGAGUGCAGCACGGAUAAGAUCUUGGAGAACCGCACGGCUGCCGUGAAUACUCAGAACAAGACCUCUGAGUGCAAACUGGAUUACAUCUGGAGGGGCUCGCUCGGAAUAACACCUCUGAGCGCAAAUUGGAUUACAUCUUGGAGAAGCUCACUGCGGUCGUGAGUUCUCAGAAUCGGCUCUUUGAGCACAAGAAUGACAACAUCACGGAGCGUAAGUUUGAUAACAUCAUGGAGAAGCUCGCGGCUCCCCAACGGGAGAUUGAGAGACCAGUGUCGGACUGUUAGAACAGCUUUGAAAUUCAUAUGAGCUGUUCGCACUAAAGUAAAAACCACCAUCACUUCAUGCGGAGACCCCUUCGGCGCCAGCUGCGGUCUCAAGGCUGGAGCUGAACAAAACACCCUGAUAACGACUGUGUUGAGACUGUUCUUCCCAUUCUAUGCAAAGCCACCUGGGUUGGCUGGAAGACUGUUUACUUAGCCUGGCAGGGCGAAGGACACUGUCUCAGCUGAACUCUGGACACACACACACACACACACACACACACACACACACACACACACAUGCACACAGACAUAUAUACACAUGCAGAUGUACACUCAUCCCCCCUCCCCCCUCCAAACGCCUUCGACGCUUAUUCCCUUCCAAUGCUGACGGUGGAUCAUGGAGACCAGCGCAUAGGCUGCAGGCCCGGAUGUACUGUCUACAUUGGCUGUCUCUCACCCUUUACCCAUCCCUGUUGCUUGUCAUGUGUUUCUUUGGUGUAUUAAGAGUUUUUUUCAUGUGCUAUGUGCAGAGGUGUUUUUUUUUCUGUUCUCAAACUGAUCUCCCUGUUGGAGCUCAGUCUGGGGGAAGUUAUUUUUUUCUCCUUAUCUUUCCUCAUGUUGUGCUUUUCCAUGUUAUACCCCUCUGACCUGUCUUCCCCAUGUGAUGUUUGUGUAAUGUGUGUAUGGUCGGAAGGGUAAGACGGCGCUGGCAGGCUGGCAGCCUUAACCCAAUUUCCCUCGGGAUGAAUAAAGUAUGAUCAAUCAAUCAAUCAAUCAAUCAUAAAAGUUCCAGUACAUUUUUCAUUUGAAUGGUUCUAUCUUGUCACCCAAAGGCCAAAUUUUUAAUGCAUUAUCCAUUUUCCUUAUAAAUUGAAUUGUAGUUCUGCAAAUAUUUACUUAUUUUACAUUUAACUGUGUAAAACGAGCACCUUUUCAGAAAUGCUGAGAUGAUGGAGGGACAUGCUGGAGGAUAUACAUCUAUCUCUCUUGCUCUUUCACAUUUUUGCAAAAUGGGUGUGAACCCAUUGAUGUCAACUAUGCAACAAUUAGUUUUUCUGUGCCUUAUGGUGUAAUUAGCCAGUACAGCAAUAUUUUACAAUACACACCAGUACUGUAUUAUGCAUAUGCUGUAUAUGGUGCCGUAGGCGGUACUGCAAAUGGACAUUUGUUCCAUAACUACUUGUUCUCUGUGGUAAUUCUCCACAGCCACAGGAUGAGGUCCUUUGGGCAUUUGGCCAGGAUGUCUCCAGGGCAGCACCUAGGUGAUGCAUUUUGGACGUGCCCCACAGUAAGGAGGCCCCACAAGAGACCCAUAUGUCAAUAUACAUGUCUGCUGCCUAUAAAAACAUGUAUCAGGUGAUGUCAUCCUGACUACAACCUGUUAUUCACAUACUGCACCUCCAUAAAGAAUAUAUUUGUACUAUAGAAAAUAAAAGCUAGAAAACAAAUUAUUAGUAAUCAUUAAUUACAGGUCAUCUAUUUCUUAACACCCUUUCAUGACAGAUGAGUGUUUCCUUUUUUUAUUGUCACUGAUGCUUCUGGUGAGAAUAUCUCAUAAACAACACGGGGCAGGUUCACUAUAACCAAAACCCCAGACUCACAGUAAACAUCAUGCCACUGUUGUAAGAUACAGCAUCCACAGCAGUGUAAAGUUAAGGAAAGUUUCUUCAUAUUUCAGAGGUCGCUCAGCAGAGAAUGAUUUAAAAGUGUAUGCAUGAUGUGGACUGUUAAAAUUGAUGACAAUUAGCACACCAAAAUAUAAUCAAUGCUAUUUUUUUUUUUAUAAAGAAGGAAAACACAUUUUCCUUUUUCAUUUAAAUAUAAAUUUUUAGAUUAAUUAAAAUUAAAGCCCAAUGCAAUGCCAGCUUCUAGCUUUGCUUAACGGUGUGUAGAACAAACCUGAUGACAUGAACUCCCAGAAAACUUAAACAUCAGCCAAACACAUCCAAGCAUUGAGGGGUGUGAGCAAAACAAACAAAACAAAGCUGACUGAUCCCAAAAACAGUUGGUUAUUGCAAUAAACCCAAGAGUUAUUUCUCAGAAUGUUUUACUAUGUUAUUGGUUUAUUCUGAGCAACAUGAAGGUUAACAGAGCGAGAAUUUUUUUCCUGAAGCAAAGUGAUCAUUACAGUCUCAAUUGUUUGAGUUUGUACGGAGAUUUCUCCACAACAUGUGCUGUCCACAAUUAUUGACAGUCGGAUAUAAUAAGUUGCUUUAUUUGGAAAUGUGCAGGGCUCGUCUCUGUCAUCGUUUGACAGAACUGCACCAUCAAGAUGUGGCAAUUCCCAAAUUGGCCAGCAGGUGUCACUGUGGAGAUGGGUUUCAGAUUGUUUCGAAGCCUCGACACUAUUGCGGCACAAAUGGUUUCAAUUUUUCAGUGUUUUACGAAGGCUCGGUUGGCCCAUCACUAUUUAUAAGGUUUUUGGAAAGGAAAGGCAAUGAAUACAGAGUGCCAAUCACACAUGAACAGGAACAGAAUCUCCUCCACUGUCUCACACACAGAAACGCCAGGCUUCAAGGCAACAACAGAAACCAGACUUACUGAUCAGAGAUGGUCUUUCUGGUUUUGAAGUGGGCCGCAGCACUCUUGUCUUUGGGAAUGGCUGCACUACAAUGACUUUACACUCAGCAGCCGUUUGGAGGAACAUGUUAGAGCCGUUUAGUCCUGUACUCCUCCUGCACAUGUGCUGAAGUUAUCAUAAUAACGUGCAUGCGUACGAGAAGGUUUUAGUUCAGUUUUGUUGGCAUAAUCAGAGAAUGAUAGGUAUGCACCACUGACUCAUGUGAUGAGUAAAACACCUGCAUGGUAUGCACCUUACCGAUUGUUUCUAUCAUGGAGACUUCAGUCUUUGCUUUCAGUUUAGGUUAGGUUUUCUUUCUAAUUCUAUUUAGAAAUCUUAUGUUUUCAAGAUUGUCCUAAUUUGUGCCUCUGCCUCUGUACUGUUCCUCAUUUCUGUUUUACUUCUAGUUGAUUGUGGUUAGAUUUUAUUGUCAUUGCAGAGUUUAUUAUUGGGCAUUCCUGCUUGGGUUCAUUGUGACUCUUUAGUCAUUUCUGUUUACUUCUUGUUAUUUUAUAAUCCAGAUAAUGUUAGUGUUAAGAGUUAUUUAAAGGUAUAUCCUUGUCUUUUUAUGUAUUUAAGACCAGCCUCCUCUAGUGUUUCCUCGUAUGCCAUUGUCAUAUCUAUUUAGUGGUUUGUUUACUUUCUGUUUUAUCUGAAAGUCCCUUGUGUGUGCUUACAUAGUCCUGCCCUGCCUGUCAGUCAUUGUUUCAGUAUCUGUUUGUGUGCUCUUGUGUUCUCCUCGUGAUCCUUUUUGGAAGUUUUCUUAUUUUUUAUUCUCAUUUCUACUAUUCGCUGCCCGGUGUUGUCGAUUACUCCUCGACCUUAAUAAAAGGAGAUAUCAAUUCUUCUAGUUGCACUUACAGCCCCGAUGGGAAAGAGGGAGCGUGAAGACACCCAGAUGUCCAAGAAGAUGCCAACUUCCCCAUUUGACUACAGUAGUUCAGAUGAUGCUUCCAAUCAGGUUCCAUCAAAUAGCCAGGACUAUUUCAGCAACAGACCUUCAGAGACAACAAGUAACCCUUACAGGCUGUACCCCAACAGACCUCAACAGACAACAAGUAACCCUGACAGGCUGUACCCCAACAGACCUCAACAGACAACAAGUAACCCUUACAGGCUGUACCCCAACAGACCUCAACAGACAACAAGUAACCCUUACAGGCUGUACCCCAACAGACCUCAACAGACAACAAGUAACCCUGACAGGCUGUAUCCCAACAGACCUCCACAGACAACAAGUAACGAGUACAGCCAGUUCAACAAUCAGCAGGUCCAGAGCAGCAGUGCCUCCACAGAUGAUCCGAAUCAUGUCCGGCUCAUAAACCACCUUCAGUUCAACAGCAGACCCCAACAAACAACAAGUAAUGAUUACAGACAGUAUCACACAGUCCACACAGACUUGGCCGCCUCCACAGACCUAGUGCGCAAUCUCCAACUGUCCAGAAUGUGUGGCUGUGUGGCUUGCCACAUCUUCUACUGUAACACUGUAGUGAGGCACAAUGCUCUUAGAGGCCGGGAAGGCGGUGUCAUAACAUUAGAGAUGGGCAUACAGAAUAGAGGCAAUAGGCGGAACAAUGGCUUUAGAUACUUCAUCAGCAGAAGUGUUAUUCAUUAUCUAAUGGUGAUCCAUAUAAUUAUUUUUAAUAUUCUGCUUUUAGUAAUGUCACUCUUGUUUCAUGGCAGGAUAUAAAUUACUCUCUGAACAAACUGCCACCAGCAUUAGAUAAAAAUGUGGAAAAUUUUUUGAUUUCCUGGAGAUGCCAGUUAACUUUUUAAAAACAAAUGCAGUGGAACAAAUAACUCUAAUAGGGACUAAUUGAGAAAACUGGUGACAUCUGGCAAGGUGUAAAAAUCCUGGAGGAGCAUACUGUUCAGAUGUCCACUGUGGCAGGUAGCUCAGUACGGGCAGGUGGAGGUGUGCUGCUGGUGGUCCUGUGGUCUGACUAUGGCUACAGCAUGCAGUCAACAAGGUUGUGACCACUGGAGCAAAGAUUUGAGUGAAUUUAAUAUAAUGAACUUCUUCAUUUUACUUGGGAUAUUUACUUAUGUGCAACUUUGUUUUGCCAUAUUCUGUUUUCUUGAACUGGUCAUUUGAAAGAUUUCCCAUUUAAAGCAAAUCUGCACUGGCUGUUUCUUUAAUAUAUACUCAGUGGGUUAAUGCAGACUUUUUCCUGCUCCUGUGUCUUAAUGAACAACAAACUGGCACUUUCUGUAAUCACUCUGUGCAAGUCUUACCUUAAACUCCACCAGGGGGCAGCAUUUCACCAGUGCUAAAUAUUUUUUCUUAACCUUUGAGUUUUAUUUUCAGCCCUACUUCCAUGUCCUAGAAAGGCUUCAGCUUUUGACCGUAAUUAAGAAGGUGCUCCUAAUGACAGGUCUGGUUGACUCACUGCACCAUCUUGUGGCACAAAUUGGUUAAUACAUGAAAGCGGAGCACAGGUACACCGAUAUUUUGGGCAUAAAGUUCUGGCCGUUCUUAAGAGCUUCAGUUCAUUUUGGAAGUAAUUUACAAAACCUUUAAGUGAAAAAAGAAAAGCACAAGCACACAGCUGCACUAUUGUGUGUUACCAACUAGUUUAAACGGUUUUAAAACAUGUAAAUGCUAAUGGGCUUUAAACAUGUUCACACUGAGAGUUAAUAACAGUCCACCACUGCAUGCAUCUAUGGCAUUUCUAAACAAACCCAAGUUUAAUGUCUGUCUCUGUGUCUACACACACACACACACACACACACACACACACACACACACACACACACACACAACUGUGUAUUUAUGUUGUGGUAUUGAGUAACAGGGCAAGAGGCGGAUGUGAUCCACCUGCAGCUGCUGUGCACAGCGAGCGGUUUGGAGAUUCAGGUCAGACUUGCGUUUUACACCUUCCUGCGAUCUGUGAGCUCUGACACGCUGAGAGCAGCUCGGCACACAUACAUUCAGUCUGUUUUCUCAUUUAUUUUGCAUGAGGCUGGCCAGACAGAGUCAUUCAGUGAGGAACUCCUGUUAUGCUACAGGAAGAAGCUGUUUGAUUUCUAACCACCUUUCCUCUGUCUCUGGCUGAAUAUUACUGAGAUGUCUGCUUGUGUCGGUGAUGACUGAUGGAUAAGUGUUGGCUUUACAGCGAGAUUUUAAUUGCGACUCUUCUGUGUAACUCAGAAUAGGAUUAAUCAUCUUAUUGCCUCAAAAUCUCUUUAUUUUUUAUACUUAUUUAUAUUCUGUAUGAUUGUUUUUGCUUCUCUGUUAAAGCACUGGAUAAACUCUGUUUUUCUUUUUUAAAAAGGUGGCACUAUAGAAAUAAAGUUUUUAUUAAUGAGACAGCAUUGAAAUGUCAGAUAAAAAAAUAGAAAUAGAGUUAUAUGUUUCACAUGGCAACAGUGAGAGAAUAAUAAAGUGCACAUUAUUUUCAUACUAGGUCAGUUUUCAGCCUGAAAUGAGGAAAAUACAUGAAACCUGACUGAGGCUUUAACACUGCAGGUAAACCAGUGGUUGGAGAGAGGUGGAAAACUGGAAGAAUCUGGAACUGGUUCUACAAAUAUUCACACAAAAGAUCAAACUCUGUAGUAGAGUUUUGCACUUGGGGAUUUCCUUGUUCGGCCAAGAAGAAGACUGCCAUGUUUGUGGUCUGCAACGGGAUUACAUUCAAGACAUCACUCAUGAUUUUGUCUACUCUUUUUGGACAUGAAUGGACCUCCCUUACUAAAUGCACAUGAUGCACUUUGAGUAAUAUGAUAUAGGUGCUUCUCUGUGUUAUUUAUCUAUGACCUGAGUAAUGCAGUAAUAUUCCCUGAUCAGUUUAAAGUACAAUAAAAUGGUCUCACGUUUAAGCUCUCUGUUUGAUUUGGUUUUACUUUGCACAUGAUACAAAUCACACAGAAAGUAAGUGAACACAAAACAAACGUGUGCCGAAUCAACUAAAUGACACAAUCUGAAAGAAAAAAAAGAUAAAAAACCUAUAAAGCAAAAUUAAACACUGACCAGUUUUAAGGCUUUUUAUUUUCUGUACAUACAACAUUUUACAAAAGCACGAAAUCCAGAUUUUUAAUCACGACUUAAAAACAUAAAGAGGAUAAAAAAUGACAUGCAUCAUCUGUACGUUGCUGUAUUUGACACUCUUCUCCAUGCAGUUAAUUAAAACGUUAAAAUAAAUACACUAUUUUCUAUUUUAUCAGCAUUAACAAAAUGAAUCAAUUAACAGUAAAUUUGCACGAUGGAGUUGAGCAGUCGAUUAAUGUUUGACUUUCUGUCACACUUCAUCGAGGUAAUGGCCAUUGAUUGGUGGAGAAACAUCAGCGCUGCCAUGAAUUAUAAAAACAAUCUAAUACAUAACAGAAGAACAGAACAGGGAUGUAAAAUGCAUAAGAAUUUACUUUUCUCUUUGCUUUUUCUGAGUAAUAAAAAUAUAUCUCUACCAUUUACUGUUUAGGAAGCAUCUAAAUAAGAAGAGAAGCAGUUAUUAAGAUAACAGGAUUUGAUCUUUAUCUAAUGCAGAUCACGUGACUUUUUUAAGACUACAGAGGAAAAUUAAAGAGAAGCGAGUCUAGUAUCGUUUAGUGCUUUUUAAAGCAUGUUUCAGUUUCUUAUGUAAAUAUGUAGUUUCAUUGAUUGAUCACAUCCUGUGUUUAUCA
Molecule: long non-coding RNA, 8127 nt
Organism: Oreochromis aureus
Lineage: Eukaryota; Metazoa; Chordata; Actinopteri; Cichliformes; Cichlidae
Source: Ensembl